RNAcentral lists this ribosomal RNA (301 nucleotides) under uncultured bacterium. RNAcentral describes it as "partial 16S ribosomal RNA". It matches the Rfam family "Bacterial small subunit ribosomal RNA", at positions 509 to 807 of the family's 1533-position model. The record is from RNAcentral.
CAGUCGCCACGGUAAUACGUAGGGUGCGAGCGUUAAUCGGAAUUACUGGGCGUAAAGGGUGCGUAGGCGGUUAGUUAAGUCUGUCGUGAAAUCCCCAGGCUCAACCUGGGAAUGGCGAUGGAUACUGGCUGGCUAGAGUGUGUCAGAGGAUGGUGGAAUUUCCGGUGUAGCGGUGAAAUGCGUAGAGAUCGGAAGGAACAUCAGUGGCGAAGGCGGCCAUCUGGGACAACACUGACGCUGAAGCACGAAAGCGUGGGGAGCAAACAGGAUUAGAUACCCCCGUAGUCCCUGUCUCUUAUAC